UGGUGCAUGGUUGUCGUCAGCUCGUGUCGUGAGAUGUUGGGUUAAGUCCCGCAACGAGCGCAACCCUCGACCUUAGUUGCCAGCAUUCAGUUGGGCACUCUAAGGUGACUGCCGGCUAAAAGUCGGAGGAAGGUGGGGAUGACGUCAAAUCAUCAUGCCCCUUAUGACCUGGGCUACACACGUGCUACAAUGGGCGGUACAAAGGGUCGCGAACCCGCGAGGGGGAGCCAAUCCCAAAAAGCCGCUCUCAGUUCGGAUUGCAGGCUGCAACUCGCCUGCAUGAAGCCGGGAAUCGCUAGUAAUCGCGGAUCAGCAUGCCGCGGUGAAUACGUUCCCGGGCCUU
RNAcentral lists this ribosomal RNA (343 nucleotides) under uncultured Anoxybacillus sp. Its description in RNAcentral is "bacterial SSU rRNA". It matches the Rfam family "Bacterial small subunit ribosomal RNA", at positions 1039 to 1382 of the family's 1533-position model. Lineage: Bacteria; Bacillati; Bacillota; Bacilli; Caryophanales; Anoxybacillaceae. The record is from RNAcentral.